GACGAACGCUGGCGGCGUGCUUAACACAUGCAAGUCGAACGGAAAGGCCCUGCUUUUGUGGGGUGCUCGAGUGGCGAACGGGUGAGUAACACGUGAGUAACCUGCCCUUGACUUUGGGAUAACUUCAGGAAACUGGGGCUAAUACCGGAUAGGAGCUCCUGCUGCAUGGUGGGGGUUGGAAAGUUUCGGCGGUUGGGGAUGGACUCGCGGCUUAUCAGCUUGUUGGUGGGGUAGUGGCUUACCAAGGCUUUGACGGGUAGCCGGCCUGAGAGGGUGACCGGCCACAUUGGGACUGAGAUGCGGCCCAGACUCCAACGGGAGGCAGGGGUGGAGAAUAUUGCACAAUGGGAGGAAGCCUGAUGCAGCAACGCCGCGUGCGGGAUGACGGCCUUCGGGUUGUAAACCGCUUUCGCCUGUGACGAAGCGUGAGUGACGGUAAUGGGUAAAGAAGCACCGGCUAACUACGUG
RNAcentral lists this ribosomal RNA (468 nucleotides) under uncultured bacterium. Its description in RNAcentral is "partial 16S ribosomal RNA". It matches the Rfam family "Bacterial small subunit ribosomal RNA", at positions 28 to 507 of the family's 1533-position model. The record is from RNAcentral.